UUGGAGGGCAAGUCUGGUGCCAGCAGCCGCGGUAAUUCCAGCUCCAAUAGCGUAUAUUAAAGUUGUUGCAGUUAAAAAGCUCGUAGUUGAAUUUCGGGAUCAAUAUGUCGGUCGUGCCUCGGUACGUACUGGCAUCAUUGGUUUCUCCCUUCUGAUGACCAUGAUGCCAUUAAUUUGGUGUCGUGGGGAAUCAGGACUGUUACUUUAGAAAAAUUAGAGUAGUUUAAAGCAGGCUCACGCUUGAAUACAUUAGCAUGGAAUAAUGAAAUAGGACGUUUGAUUCUAUUUUGUUGGUUUCUAGGAUCGACGUAAUGAUUAAUAGGGAUAGUUGGGGGCAUUAGUAUUCAAUUGUCAGAGGUGAAAUUCUUGGAUUUAUUGAAGACUAACUACUGACGAA
This 397-nucleotide ribosomal RNA is filed under the name uncultured Glomeraceae. RNAcentral's name for it is "SSU rRNA". It matches the Rfam family "Eukaryotic small subunit ribosomal RNA", at positions 548 to 949 of the family's 1831-position model. The record is from RNAcentral. Lineage: Eukaryota; Fungi; Glomeromycota; Glomeromycetes; Glomerales; Glomeraceae.